AUACAGAGGGUGCAAGCGUUAAUCGGAAUUACUGGGCGUAAAGCGCGCGUAGGCGGUUUGAUAAGUCGGAUGUGAAAUCCCUGGGCUCAACCUGGGAACUGCAUUCGAAACUGUCUGACUAGAGUAUGGUAGAGGGUGGUGGAAUUCCUAGUGUAGCGGUGAAAUGCGUAGAUAUUAGGAGGAACAUCAGUGGCGAAGGCGACCACCUGGACCAAUACUGACGCUGAGGUGCGAAAGCGUGGGGAGCAAACAGGAUUAGAUACCCUAGUAGUCC
RNAcentral lists this ribosomal RNA (274 nucleotides) under uncultured bacterium. Its description in RNAcentral is "partial 16S ribosomal RNA". It matches the Rfam family "Bacterial small subunit ribosomal RNA", at positions 523 to 796 of the family's 1533-position model. The record is from RNAcentral.